Long non-coding RNA from Malaclemys terrapin pileata, 489 nucleotides. RefSeq lists it as uncharacterized. Lineage: Eukaryota; Metazoa; Chordata; Testudines; Emydidae. The record is from RefSeq and is a predicted model, not a curated record. The transcript has 2 exons.
CGGGCCCCGAGGCGAGCCCGGCGAGCCUCACCUUGAACUCGCGGCUGUGCUGCGGGGUGUACUCCAGCGUCCAGAGCGCCCGCACCAGUGUCUCAAGGGGCACGUGACCAGGAUUCAUCACCAAAUUUAGUCCACUGGUUGGAGCACUGGCAGGAAGUGCGACGUGAACGCUGUUUCAUGCCCCCCAGAAGUGUCUGUGUCCAGCUAAAGAUGCUGCAGUGUUCCCACUUCCACAAUUUAAGCGAUAACAGAUCAAAACUGUGGAAAAUACAGCAGCUGUCUGCCCAUCAACACGCAAGUGCACAAGGGUUUGAGUCACGCGAGUGAAGAGACGUAUUAAAUAAUGGAAGAUCAGGGCAAUGGUGCGAGUGAUCCUACUACAUCCCCCCCAAAAAAGCUGCACAGUCAGUGAUAACUGGCUGAACGAAACAGACUACAAAGCCUGGCUGGCAAAAUGUGCUGAUAAAACAAAUGCCCUUUUAUUAUCAA